UUGGAGGGCAAGUCUGGUGCCAGCAGCCGCGGUAAUUCCAGCUCCAAUAGCGUAUAUUAAAGUUGUUGCAGUUAAAAAGCUCGUAGUUGAAUUUCGGGGUCAGUAGGUUGGUCAUGCCACCGGUAUGUACUGGUCUCACUGAUUCCUCCUUCCUGAUGAGCCGUAAUGCCAUUAAUUUGGUGUUGCGAGGAAUCUGGACUGUUACUUUGAAAAAAUUAGAGUGUUUAAAGCAGGCUAACGCUUGAAUACAUUAGCAUGGAAUAAUGAAAUAGGACGUUCGAUCUUAUUUUGUUGGUUUCUAAGAUUGACGUAAUGAUUAAUAGGGAUAGUUGGGGGCAUUAGUAUUCAAUUGUCAGAGGUGAAAUUCUUGGAUUUAUUGAAGACUAACUACUGCGAAAGCAUUUGCCAAGGAUGUUUUCAUUAAUCAAGAACGAAAGUUAGGGGAUCGAAGACGAUCAGAUACCGUCGUAGUCUUAACCAUAAACUAUGCCGACUAGGGAUCGGAUGAUGUUAAUUUUUUAAUGACUCAUUCGGCGCCUUACGGGAAAC
Molecule: ribosomal RNA, 549 nt
Filed under: uncultured fungus
Lineage: Eukaryota; Fungi
Description: SSU rRNA
Rfam family: Eukaryotic small subunit ribosomal RNA
Source: RNAcentral